CCUACGGGGUGCUGCAGUGGGGAAUAUUGGACAAUGGGCGAAAGCCUGAUCCAGCCAUGCCGCGUGUGUGAAGAAGGCCUUCGGGUUGUAAAGCACUUUCAGUGGGGAAGAAAGCCUUGGGGCUAAUACCCUCGAGGAAGGACAUCACCCACAGAAGAAGCACCGGCUAACUCCGUGCCAGCAGCCGCGGUAAUACGGAGGGUGCGAGCGUUAAUCGGAAUUACUGGGCGUAAAGCGCGCGUAGGCGGUCUGAUAAGCCGGUUGUGAAAGCCCCGGGCUCAACCUGGGAACGGCAUCCGGAACUGUCAGGCUAGAGUGCAGAAGAGGAAGGUAGAAUUCCAGGUGUAGCGGUGAAAUGCGUAGAGAUCGGGAGGAAUACCAGUGGCGAAGGCGGCCUUCUGGACUGAAACUGACGCUGAGGUGCGAAAGCGUGGGUAGCAAACAGGAUUAGAUACCCGUGUAGUC
Molecule: ribosomal RNA, 465 nt
Filed under: Vreelandella stevensii
Lineage: Bacteria; Pseudomonadati; Pseudomonadota; Gammaproteobacteria; Oceanospirillales; Halomonadaceae
Description: partial 16S ribosomal RNA
Rfam family: Bacterial small subunit ribosomal RNA
Source: RNAcentral